This 425-nucleotide ribosomal RNA is filed under the name uncultured bacterium. Its description in RNAcentral is "partial 16S ribosomal RNA". It matches the Rfam family "Bacterial small subunit ribosomal RNA", at positions 354 to 796 of the family's 1533-position model. The record is from RNAcentral.
GUGGGGAAUAUUGGACAAUGGGCGAAAGCCUGAUCCAGCAAUGCCGCGUGAGUGAUGAAUGCCCUAGGGUUGUAAAGCUCUUUUACCCGGGAUGAUAAUGACAGUACCGGGAGAAUAAGCUCCGGCUAACUUCGUGCCAGCAGCCGCGGUAAUACGAGGGGAGCUAGCGUUGUUCGGAAUUACUGGGCGUAAAGCGCGCGUAGGCGGUUUUUUAAGUCAGAGGUGAAAGCCCGGGGCUCAACCCCGGAAUUGCCUUUGAAACUGGAAAACUAGAAUCUUGGAGAGGUCAGUGGAAUUCCGAGUGUAGAGGUGAAAUUCGUAGAUAUUCGGAAGAACACCAGUGGCGAAGGCGACUGACUGGACAAGUAUUGACGCUGAGGUGCGAAAGCGUGGGGAGCAAACAGGAUUAGAUACCCUAGUAGUCC